GACGAACUUUGGCGGCGUGCUUAACACAUGCAAGUCGAACGGAAAGGCCCUGCUUUUGUGGGGUGCUCGAGUGGCGAACGGGUGAGUAACACGUGAGUAACCUGCCCUUGACUUUGGGAUAACUUCAGGAAACUGGGGCUAAUACCGGAUAGGAGCUCCUGCUGCAUGGUGGGGGUUGGAAAGUUUCGGCGGUUGGGGAUGGACUCGCGGCUUAUCAGCUUGUUGGUGGGGUAGUGGCUUACCAAGGCUUUGACGGGUAGCCGGCCUGAGAGGGUGACCGGCCACAUUGGGACUGAGAUACGGCCCAGACUCCUACGGGAGGCAGCAGUGGGGAAUAUUGCACAAUGGGCGGAAGCCUGAUGCAGCAACGCCGCGUGCGGGAUGACGGCCUUCGGGUUGUAAACCGCUUUCGCCUGUGACGAAGCGUGAGUGACGGUAAUGGGUAAAGAAGCACCGGCUAACUACGUGCCAGCAGCCGCGGUGAUACGUAGGGUGCGAGCGUUGUCCGGAUUUAUUGGGCGUAAAGGGCUCGUAGGUGGUUGAUCGCGUCGGAAGUGUAAUCUUGGGGCUUAACCCUGAGCGUGCUUUCGAUACGGGUUGACUUGAGGAAGGUAGGGGAGAAUGGAAUUCCUGGUGGAGCGGUGGAAUGCGCAGAUAUCAGGAGGAACACCAGUGGCGAAGGCGGUUCUCUGGGCCUUUCCUGACGCUGAGGAGCGAAAGCGUGGGGAGCGAACAGGCUUAGAUACCCUGGUAGUCCACGCUGUAAACGGUGGGUACUAGGUGUGGGGUCCAUUCCACGGGUUCCGUGCCGUAGCUAACGCUUUAAGUACCCCGCCUGGGGAGUACGGCCGCAAGGCUAAAACUCAAAGGAAUUGACGGGGCCCCGCACAAGCGGCGGAGCAUGCGGAUUAAUUCGAUGCAACGCGUAGAACCUUACCUGGGUUUGACAUGGAUCGGGAGCGCUCAGAGAUGGGUGUGCCUCUUUUGGGGUCGGUUCACAGGUGGUGCAUGGCUGUCGUCAGCUCGUGUCGUGAGAUGUUGGGUUAAGUCCCGCAACGAGCGCAACCCUUGUUCACUGUUGCCAGCACGUUAUGGUGGGGACUCAGUGGAGACCGCCGGGGUCAACUCGGGGGAAGGUGGGGAUGACGUCAAGUCAUCAUGCCCCUUAUGUCCAGGGCUUCACGCAUGCUACAAUGGCUGGUACAGAGAGUGGCGAGCCUGUGAGGGUGAGCGAAUCUCGGAAAGCCGGUCUCAGUUCGGAUUGGGGUCUGCAACUCGACCUCAUGAAGUCGGAGUCGCUAGUAAUCGCAGAUCAGCAACGCUGCGGUGAAUACGUUCCCGGGGCU
RNAcentral lists this ribosomal RNA (1346 nucleotides) under uncultured bacterium. RNAcentral describes it as "bacterial SSU rRNA". It matches the Rfam family "Bacterial small subunit ribosomal RNA", at positions 28 to 1381 of the family's 1533-position model. The record is from RNAcentral.